This is a non-coding RNA of Glycine soja, 127 nucleotides long. NCBI's taxonomy places the organism in Eukaryota, Viridiplantae, Streptophyta, Magnoliopsida, Fabales, Fabaceae. The record is from Rfam.
UUCUUACUGGAUGAUGACUGUCAUGUGUCAUGUGUCAUGUUCUGAUUGGUCAAUAAAAAUAACAAUGCAUUUCAUCUUUCAUGGAGUUGACAUCCAAUUGGAACAUGAUACAUGACAGUCAUCAUCC